Populus trichocarpa (black cottonwood) is the source of this 109-nucleotide non-coding RNA. The record is from Rfam. Lineage: Eukaryota; Viridiplantae; Streptophyta; Magnoliopsida; Malpighiales; Salicaceae.
UAAUUUAUUUAUGGCAUAUUCUCAUCCAACUAUAACAAAUUAUCACCCAUAUGCUUAAAAACUUUAGUUUUCACAAACUCGGUUGCAUAAAUUAGUUUUCAAUGGUGAA